This 407-nucleotide ribosomal RNA is filed under the name uncultured bacterium. Its description in RNAcentral is "partial 16S ribosomal RNA". It matches the Rfam family "Bacterial small subunit ribosomal RNA", at positions 29 to 526 of the family's 1533-position model. The record is from RNAcentral.
AAUGAACGCUGGCGGCAGGCCUAAUACAUGCAAGUCGAACGGAGCGGCGGACGAGGGAGUAAUGCCUAGGAAUCUACCCGGGGGUGGCGGACAACGUCCGGAAGCGGGCACUAAUGCCACAUGAUUUCAAGUGAGCCUAGGUCGGAGUAGCUAGUUGGUGGGGUAAAGGCCUACCAAGGCGACGAUCCGUAACUGGUCUGAGAGGAGGAUCCGCCACACUGGAACUGAGACACGGUCCAGACUCCGACGGGAGGCAGCAGUGGGGAAUAUUGGACAAUGGGCGAAAGCCUGAUCCAGCCAUGCCGCGUGUGUGAAGAAGGUCUUCGGAUUGUAAAGCACUUUAAGUUGGGAGGCGUUACCAACAGAAUAAGCACCGGCUAACUACGUGCCAGCAGCCGCGGUAAUUC